UACGGCGAGUGAGCGGCAAAAGCUCAAAUUUGAAAUCUGGCACCUUCGGUGUCCGAGUUGUAAUUUGAAGAAGGUAACUUUGGAGUUGGCUCUUGUCUAUGUUCCUUGGAACAGGACGUCACAGAGGGUGAGAAUCCCGUGCGAUGAGAUGCCCAAUUCUAUGUAAAGUGCUUUCGAAGAGUCGAGUUGUUUGGGAAUGCAGCUCUAAGUGGGUGGUAAAUUCCAUCUAAAGCUAAAUAUUGGCGAGAGACCGAUAGCGAACAAGUACAGUGAUGGAAAGAUGAAAAGAACUUUGAAAAGAGAGUGAAAAAGUACGUGAAAUUGUUGAAAGGGAAGGGCUUGAGAUCAGACUUGGUAUUUUGCGAUCCUUUCCUUCUUGGUUGGGUUCCUCGCAGCUUACUGGGCCAGCAUCAGUUUGGAUGGUAGGAUAAUGACUAAGGAAUGUGGCUCUACUUCGGUGGAGUGUUAUAGCCUUGGUUGAUACUGCCUGUCUAGACCGAGGACUGCGUCUUUGACUAGGAUGUUGGCAUAAUGAUCUUAAGCCACCCGUCUUGAA
RNAcentral lists this ribosomal RNA (556 nucleotides) under Debaryomyces sp. Z8Y18. RNAcentral describes it as "eukaryotic LSU rRNA". It matches the Rfam family "Eukaryotic large subunit ribosomal RNA", at positions 85 to 658 of the family's 3401-position model. The record is from RNAcentral. Lineage: Eukaryota; Fungi; Ascomycota; Pichiomycetes; Serinales; Debaryomycetaceae.